GUGGUUUUUGUUUUUUUUUAGUAACUUUCAACACAAAUUGUGCUUUCUCCCACAGAUAUUUGACAUUUAACAAGCAAGAAUUGUUAUUUAUUUUAAUUAGUUUUUACUACGUGUGCCUGCUUCCCCCAGGAAUAAAACUAACUGAAGUCAGUACCCCCCCCCCCCCCCAUGUUUAUUUAAAUGGAGCAUUACGAUGAGCCUCCAGUCAGCUCUGUCGUGUUCAAACAAAUGUUCUGAAUUACUGUUUUUCACCUGAUUUCACAAUCAGCUCUUUGCAACCCACUACACUGUCACUAGCAAUCUGACUGAAGGCAAAAAAUUUCUUUAAUGUCUAAAUCGGUUUAUUCUGGAUAAUCUCAACACCUUUCAGCAGCAGUAGUAUUUAAAUACAGCUGAAGAAGAACAAAAUAGCGUGUCUGAAUUUUACAAAAGCUUUGUGUAUCUGUUAUUUUCUUUCUUCCUGGAAUCUUAUAAGUACUAUGUGUGGCAUUUGCACUUUUUUUUUGCCAUGUCUUGCUUAAAAUUUUGCCUUCUCGAGUGUAAAGGUUAGCAUACUUUAAGACUGAUAGUCUUUGACAUAGGAAAGUGAUGGUGUUUAAAAAGUUACAAAACUAUACAUAAACACUGAGUUUAAAAUCUUGGGUCAAGGAAGCUUAGUAAUGUAUCUAUCAAGUACACCUCUAUUGUCCUGAUGCUGUUGAUAGAGAGUAUAAAUCCAUGUCUUUUGGAAUAUAAUAGGAAUGAAAUGACCAUGGAAAGCAUCCUUACUUGCAGCUUGAAGUUCAUUUCCAGCCACCACUUCAUAUAUACUCUUUCUUUCCUUUUCUAUGAUCCCCUCCUUCUUCCCAGUUUUCAAAGAAAGGAAUAUCACAGGUUGUGGAUGAAUUGCCUGGAGGCAUUCAAGGCCAGGCUGGAUGUGGCUCUGGGCAGCCUGGUCUGGUGUUUGGUGACCCUGCCCAUGGCAGAGGGGUUGAAACUAGAUGAUCAUUGUGGUCCUUUUCAACCCAGGCCAUUCUAUGAUCAGGGAGAUGGGAUUAGGGAAGACAAGUUGCCUAUGUCCAUUCUUCAUCCAAUUAUUUUCAAUUAUUUUUUUAAUCCUUUUUUCUACAAAAGUGGAAACCUUUACCAGAGCACUAUCUAGGCAAAAUCUUCCCAUGUGUAUAUAUGUUGGGAUAAAAUGCAGUGUUUCAACUGUGUUUUUUUCUACGAGCACGCUAAAUAAAGAUGAAUAAAGAUUCAUAGCAUCUCUGUUUAAGUAUUAGUGCUUUGAAUACCUGGUAGAUUUAAAGCUGAAUAAAUAAAAAAUUAAGAAGUCCUUAUAUUUUCCAGCUGUUAGUUAUGUCUUGUGAUCCGGCUUGGUAUGCGAGCUGUUCACCAGCAGAGGGCAUUGUGCACCUCGGGGAAACGCAGAUUGCAAAAGCAGUCGCAAGAGAAGGGAAAAAUUCUGACCUUCUGAAGGCAUUGCAAAUUUUAGGAAGUUAAGCAGAAGCUUAAUACAAACUGAAAUUUCCAAUCACAGGAUCUGACGUAUUUCCCAAUGUCAUCUCUCAUCUCUGUAGCUCCUGCACUAGGAAAAACAGUAGACUCAGAGCAUGGAGCCCAUAUAAGUUUCAAGAGGUUACAUGAGGACUACAGAAGGCUAAUAGCAUGAUAACAGCUGCUAGCACGGGGAUGUAAGCAAUGCAAACAUCAGAUUCAUGCAGUUUGGCUAGCUUGUUGCCAAGGAUGUCAGACUCCUGAGUGAUGGAGAAAGCUUUGCCACAAUUGACACUGUCUCCAGCUUCCAAAGGAGAUGCUCCACCCCUUUGAUCAUCUUUGUGGCCCUCCUCCGGACCCAUUCCAACAGCUCCAUGCCCUUUCUGUGUUGGAGGGCCCUGAUCUGGAUGCAUUGUUCAAGAUGGACCUCACAAGUGCAGAG
This 1918-nucleotide long non-coding RNA is filed under the name Gallus gallus (chicken). RNAcentral's name for it is "lncRNA (ENSGALG00010006008.1)". The record is from RNAcentral. Lineage: Eukaryota; Metazoa; Chordata; Aves; Galliformes; Phasianidae.